GUGGUUUUUCAGGGUGGGGCUCAGCACUGGAGGCAAGGAGGUUGAAGUGUCUUGCCUAAGGACACAACAGCACAUGACUAGAAUAGAGCAGGGUUCGAACCACCAACUCUUCGGUUAUUGGACAACCCACUCUACCUUUUGAGC
Sphaeramia orbicularis (orbiculate cardinalfish) is the source of this 144-nucleotide long non-coding RNA. RefSeq lists it as uncharacterized. The transcript has 3 exons. Lineage: Eukaryota; Metazoa; Chordata; Actinopteri; Kurtiformes; Apogonidae. The record is from RefSeq and is a predicted model, not a curated record.